UACGUAGGGACCAAGCGUUGUUCGGAUUUACUGGGCGUAAAGGGCGCGUAGGCGGCUUGACAAGUCACUUGUGAAAUCUCCGGGCUUAACUCGGAACGGCCAAGUGAAACUGUCAUGCUAGAGUGCAGAAGGGGCAAUCGGAAUUCUCGGUGUAGCGGUGAAAUGCGUAGAUAUCGAGAGGAACACCUGCGGCGAAGGCGGGUUGCUGGGCUGACACUGACGCUGAUGCGCGAAAGCCAGGGGAGCGAACGGG
This 253-nucleotide ribosomal RNA is filed under the name uncultured bacterium. RNAcentral describes it as "partial 16S ribosomal RNA". It matches the Rfam family "Bacterial small subunit ribosomal RNA", at positions 524 to 776 of the family's 1533-position model. The record is from RNAcentral.